Megalopta genalis is the source of this 533-nucleotide non-coding RNA. Lineage: Eukaryota; Metazoa; Arthropoda; Insecta; Hymenoptera; Halictidae. The record is from RefSeq and is a predicted model, not a curated record.
AGAGAGAGAGAGAGAGAGAGAGAGAGAGAGAGAGAGAGAGAGAGAGAGAGAGAGAGAGAGAGGAAGAGGAUAGUAAGUGCUAUCUUUUAGAGGUGCGGGGAGAGAAACGUCCUUCCGCUGUCCUUUCAUUGACGCUGCUAGCUGACGUCACGAUCUUGGGGAAGUCGAUCACGGUGUGUCGACACCUUUUUGUCACCCGGAGGAUAACUAUGAUCGCAAUUCCACGAUACAUCAAUGACGGACGAGAGAGACGGUUGCAAAAGCUACGGAUUCGCGUAAUUUGCAUCUGAAUUUAUGUGCGCACGCUCGCGCCUCGAUUCAACACACAUGAAAAAAAAACACAACACACAAAGAGAUACGUACACGGACAGCUAAAUGAAUACAGAAACGAUACAUGCAUACAUACACGUAUACGUUCUCACACUUGUACACGUAACUUAGGCCGCUCGGUUUAGUACUUUUAACGAUGAUAAAAAUGUUCGUUUAUAUCUGAUACAAUGAUAGUUGAAUAAAAUGUUUGUUAUAGCCAAGUA